GGUGGCGCAUGGUUGUCGUCAGCUCGUGUCGUGAGAUGUUGGGUUAAGUCCCGCAACGAGCGCAACCCUUAUUCUUAGUUGCCAUCAUUUAGUUGGGCACUCUAAGGAGACUGCCGGUGACAAACCGGAGGAAGGUGGGGAUGACGUCAAGUCAUCAUGGCCCUUAUGACCUGGGCUACACACGUGCUACAAUGGGAAGUACAACGAGUCGCUAGACCGCGAGGUCAUGCAAAUCUCUUAAAGCUUCUCUCAGUUCGGAUUGCAGGCUGCAACUCGCCUACAUGAAGCCGGAAUCGCUAGUAAUCGUGGAUCAGCAUGCCACGGUGAAUACGUUCCCGGGUCUUGUACACAC
Molecule: ribosomal RNA, 352 nt
Filed under: uncultured bacterium
Lineage: Bacteria
Description: bacterial SSU rRNA
Rfam family: Bacterial small subunit ribosomal RNA
Source: RNAcentral